GCGGCUGUAGCUCAGUGGAUAGAGUAUUGGCCUCCGAAGCCAAGGGUCGUGGGUUCGAUCCCCGCCAGCCGCGCCA
This 76-nucleotide transfer RNA is filed under the name Comamonas testosteroni. Its description in RNAcentral is "tRNA-Arg(ccg)". It matches the Rfam family "tRNA". Rfam says of the family: Transfer RNA (tRNA) molecules are approximately 80 nucleotides in length. Their secondary structure includes four short double-helical elements and three loops (D, anti-codon, and T loops). RNAcentral also lists the same sequence under 364 other names. Lineage: Bacteria; Pseudomonadati; Pseudomonadota; Betaproteobacteria; Burkholderiales; Comamonadaceae. The record is from RNAcentral.